Molecule: long non-coding RNA, 466 nt
Organism: Canis lupus familiaris (dog)
Lineage: Eukaryota; Metazoa; Chordata; Mammalia; Carnivora; Canidae
Exons: 3
Source: RefSeq, a predicted model, not a curated record
AGUGUUCCUAAAGGCAAUGAUCUAUGUAUGGACAGGUGUCUGUUGGUCUCAUCUCCUACUACAGGGAGGAAACAGCCCCAGCAUAGCUGAUAUGGCUUCUUCUCCUCCCAUCUAGAGGAAGAUGGAGUUUUGAGCCUGUUCUUCCUGGGGAGAACGUGACACUGUAUUGCGACAUAUGGAGUGAUCUUUUCCAAAAUGUCACCCACUUGAAAUUUUCAAUAUUCUCAAGCCCUUCUUUUAAUGUGGAAUGGUAACCAAAGGACCUUCUACCAAGAACAAAAUAUCAACCUGAUAGUCCUGAUUCUUCCUACAAGGUGAGGAAACAGACACUGAGCUUACUUUUCAUCCCCACGCCCUUACAGCUAGUGAGCGGCAAAGCUGAGAUUCAACUGAGGACCUCUAACUCCAGAGCCCUUGCUGUUAACCACUGCUGUCACUGAAGUACCUGAUGCUUAUCAAAGUCAAG